Oryctolagus cuniculus (rabbit) is the source of this 2576-nucleotide non-coding RNA. The record is from RefSeq and is a predicted model, not a curated record. NCBI's taxonomy places the organism in Eukaryota, Metazoa, Chordata, Mammalia, Lagomorpha, Leporidae.
CAACCCUGGAGACAAAGCCCUUAGCACCUCACAGCCCACAGAGAGCUGUAUGCUCACUGUGCAUUUGACCACGGUUGGGCCACACCUCUGCAGUGGACCGCCUGUCCUCCUUGCAUUGGGGGGUAUCCCUGGACUCUGCAGGGCUGGGAAGGUGGUUGGACUGAGCAGCUGACGAAGCGCCAGGCUUUGUAUGUCUCUCACCUUGGCAUGUGCUUGGAUCAAUGAUGACUCCCCCAUAAACAUUCCUUGGAAAAGCUGAACAAAAUGAGUGAGAACUCACAACCGUCGUUCUCAUCGUGACUGAGGUCCAGCACAUUGCCUCUGGCAGGGACUAUGGCAGUGAGGGCCCACGUCCAGGGUAGCAGUUCUCUCCACAACCCAGGGGUGCCCAUGGUGAAAGGUCUAUUUGAACAGCGCCAGCAAGGUGAUCUCUCAGUCGGCCGCUCUGGGCAGCAAAGUGCCUGGUGCAGUGGUGCUGGGAGUUUGCGUGGCGGUUACCCAUGUGGGCAGCAGUGGUGAAGGAUGCAGCAGGGUGUGCAGGAUCUGAUUGUGUGGAUGUGCCCAUGCUAAGUGUAUACCUCAAGGGUCUGUUGCAUGCAGCUGAGGCCCUGGUUGCCUGUGCAGUGGGUCAUGGUACCAAGUGCUCCUCUUCUUGGCCAACAGGAGUCAUGAAGCCCAGUCCUCUGGCCAGCAUUAGGUCUCUCUGCUUGUGUUCUGAAGUGGCAGUAGUCUGCCGCAGGGCUCUGAAGAGAUCAGACAUCCCCUUGAGUGUGGCAUUGACACUUGGCAGUAGUGCCUGUGUGACCUGGUGUUAGGAGUCAGCCUGGCAUGACUGUGUGUUCCCUUCACUUGGGAGUUUCUUCCAUAAAGUGCAGUAGCUCUUAGGGUUGAUGCAAAGGAAAUGACAGGGACAAUGGGAUAGGUUGUCUCCAAGGAAACCCUGGUGAGCAUGGUUGCUGUGGUUUCUCUAGGUGGGGCAGAAGGGUAUUCCUUGGGUCACCAAGGGUGAGCCCUGGUAUUAUCAUUUUGUGACUAUGCAGUAGAGCUUGUGCACACAUCUGGUGCAUUUUUGAAGGUUACUUGGUGGGAGGGAUAACAGGUGAGCAAUCUUCAGGGAUCCCUUUAGCUGAGGGUGUGAGUGCAGCAUAAUCUGUUGUACUCUUGAUCAUGGAUGAAGCAGCUUUGUAGGUCUGUGUCACAAAGACAUGUUACUGUGCUUCUCCUAUUUGAAAUGGACUCUCUCUUUACCUGGGCCUCCAACGCAGAACCAGUGAUGUGACGCAGUUAACUCAGGAGAGUUAGGACCUUGGUCAUGGUGGCUUCCCUCAGCUUGCAACAUCUGCUGCUGGAAUCCUGAGGCCCUGUACCUCAUGUCCCUGUCCAGUGCCUGUAAUCCCAGAGCCUGAGCCCAGAAGUCAUGGCCAGCAGAGAAACUUCGAUGUCUUGUGGGUGGGAGGAUGUUUUUAGGCAUUUACUGUACUCCGGGGUUCUGAGAAUAAUCCAAUGCUGGAACAUACUCUGUCUUGGGUGACUGGGUAAUCUGCCAGGGACAUAAUCCUGGUGCUUUUCCCUGGUCUGGUUGGUGCUCACUAGUUCUGGUCAUGGGUAGUACAGUCCUCUGUGUUGGCAGGUGUGAGGUUGAAUCUUCGGUGGGUUUGAGGGCCGGUUGCAUGUUCCCCUGAGCUGAUUUCAGACAUUUGGAGGGCUUGUCAGGGAUGGGGCGAUAAAGGACAGGCAAUUAGCGAGAGGUCACUGGGGGUCAAGUCUGACCCUGGGUGCAUCUAGGCAAAGCCACUGCUGGCCUCCCAGACCUGCGUGACCACUGACACACAAAUGAGAUUGGGAGAUUUAAGAGCACAAGUGCGAGGUUGGCUGUGUUUGCAGCGGUGCUCUUGACGUUUCCGGCCACAACACAAAACCCUAGGCAGCUAUUGAGGAUGUCCCCUGAUCAUAUUCAUGACUGAGGACUGUACAGGGUACCCCACACCUGGCAGAGGUUCUAGGCGACCAAAGGCCUGACUGUGUCUCAGGUCCUAUGAGGUAGUAUGCCUUGCACAGCGGUUCUUUCUUUCCCUGGAUGCCCUCACGAGUUUGUGGGGUUCCUGUAGACCUUGUCACUCUGGCCAGAUGUCGGUGCCCAUCAUGAUAUUGAAGGCUCAGACACCAGCAAAGCAGUGCCGGCAGGUAGAUGCCAAAAAUGUUCAGGCAAAGGUCAUCGAUGGCAGGACCAAUACACACUAGGGACAUGGACACUUAUGUACCAUAACUCGCAACUUCCCAGAAUUCAGAACUCAAGCUGAGAACCCACAAUAGCACACUCAAGAGAAACUUGUAUAACCAGAGUUCAUCAUGGACAGACUGGCUUGUGUGAAAGGAAGGUUCAGAGAUGAAGAUUGAGUGAAUGCAUUGUGGCGCAGGGACCAGGGUCAUCCUAAGCAUUGCAGGUCAGAGCAGGCCAUGGCUCUGUUUUUCUCAAGCGUGCCUGUGGGUUUGUGUGUACUUCUCAGGACUGCUUGCUGAUGUCAACGUGGCCGUGCAGGGUGGCAAGAAGUGUGCUUCUGCUGAGGACUUGAGGC